RNAcentral lists this ribosomal RNA (117 nucleotides) under Acidobacteriota bacterium. RNAcentral also lists the same sequence under 1 other name. Lineage: Bacteria; Pseudomonadati; Acidobacteriota. The record is from RNAcentral.
UCGGGUGACCAUAGCGAGAGGGACCCACCCGUUCCCAUCCCGAACACGGAAGUUAAGCCUCUCAGCCCCGAUGGUACUGCGCGCGCGAGUGCGUGGGAGAGUAGGAAGUUGCCCGGA